AGCGAACGCUGGCGGCAGGCCUAACACAUGCAAGUCGAACGAACCUUUCGGGGUUAGUGGCGGACGGGUGAGUAACACGUGGGAACGUGCCUUUAGGUUCGGAAUAACUCAGGGAAACUUGUGCUAAUACCGAAUGUGCCCUUCGGGGGAAAGAUUAAUCGCCUUUAGAGCGGCCCGCGUCUGAUUAGCUAGUUGGUUGAGGUAAUGGCUCACCAAGGCGACGAUCAGUAGCUGGUCUGAGAGGAUGAUCAGCCACAUUGGGACUGAAACACGGCCCAAACUCCUACGGGAGGCAGCAGUGGGGAAUCUUGCGCAAGGGGCGAAAGCCUGACGCAGCCAUGCCGGGUGAAUGAUGAAGGUCUUAGGAUUGUAAAAUUCUUUCACCGGGGACGAUAAUGACGGUACCCGGAGAAGAAGCCCCGGCUAACUUCGUG
RNAcentral lists this ribosomal RNA (434 nucleotides) under uncultured bacterium. RNAcentral describes it as "partial 16S ribosomal RNA". It matches the Rfam family "Bacterial small subunit ribosomal RNA", at positions 29 to 507 of the family's 1533-position model. The record is from RNAcentral.